UUUAUUUGCACAGAAUAUUGUAGUGCGAUCUUAAAAUCAUCAAUUCAGAGGUUUCUAUUCAGAUCAGAAACAUUUGGAACAAAAAAUAUUGCCCCCCUUUCCCGCAAAUUCUUAUCUCCAUACUAAUUUUAAAAAGAAAAACCAAAUCCUAAAAUCACCUAUUCAUGGUUUGAUUGCAAACAGUAAAAAAAUGAAAAAGAAAAAGAAAGCUCUACUCCUCAGAAUAUAGUAACUUUACCGGAACAUGAUAUGCAUAAAAAGAAUAAAUAUAACCAUCAAAAAUAAAUAAAUCAAAGUCACACACAUAAGGCAUCAAAGAG
This 320-nucleotide long non-coding RNA is filed under the name Actinidia chinensis (golden kiwifruit). RNAcentral describes it as "long non-coding RNA (ACHI_LNC001340)". Lineage: Eukaryota; Viridiplantae; Streptophyta; Magnoliopsida; Ericales; Actinidiaceae. The record is from RNAcentral.